CUUUCAUCUGGGAAAGUACAUCUAACUCACUCAGAGUGAAAUACCACUUCAUUUAUGAAUCUGGCAUGGACAGAGUUAUAGUACAAGGCUACCUGUCCCUCAGAUCGUGUCUGAUAUCAGGAUCCCUCACAUACUGGAGUAGCUCCAACAGCUAACUCAUCCUAAUAGGAAUGGGAAGGGAUCCUACAAGGGAGAGGGCAGUUGGCAGGCCUGAGAAGGACAGUGAUAAUAAGGGCCUGCAGAAUGUAACUGCUGCGGCAGGACGAACAAAGACACUAUUCAGCGCGGAGAGCAGCUUCCCUUCCGCACCACUCUCUGACCACAGAGAGGCUGGCUGGAGCACGCUAUCUGACAGACACAGGAUUCGCUGGCUGAACAAAACUCCCCAAGGACUCCAGUUCAGCAUUCUGAAUUUCUCUUGUGGGAUGAAGACUUCCUUUUCAGUACUAGUCUGAACAAUGAGAAUCAGCUGCAACUUGUUUUCAUUUCUCAGUUCUUUACAUAUAGAAAUUCAUUCUUUGGAAUAAUGCUUAACAAAGUUGUUGCUCAUUAGAGCUAAGGUGGCUGGUUUCAGUACCCCAAUUUUGUUCUAGGAUGGUAUGUUCCAAAGUUACAGAAGUUGUAAGAAGACAUUGUUUCUAAUCUACAGCCUCUGAAAUCCCAUUGCAGGGGUCAUUUCCUGACUUUUGUGUCACUUCAAUCCAGUCCCUUGAAAGUUCCCACCCCCUGUGACUUUGCAAACUAAGUAUAUAAUUCAAGUAUUUUCCCAUAUCUUUUUCAUAGGUUGUACACAUAAAGGAAUUUACUGUAAGCUUGAUUUUGCGUGAGAAAAUAAAUGUAGACAUUUGCUGAGCUGAAUAAUAAAA
This 866-nucleotide long non-coding RNA is filed under the name Struthio camelus australis. RNAcentral's name for it is "lncRNA (ENSSCUG00000003386.1)". The record is from RNAcentral. Lineage: Eukaryota; Metazoa; Chordata; Aves; Struthioniformes; Struthionidae.